AGAGUUUGAUCAUGGCUCAGGAUGAACGCUAGCGGCAGGCUUAACACAUGCAAGUCGAGGGGUAUAGGUUUUCGGACCUAGAGACCGGCGCACGGGUGCGUAACGCGUAUGCAAUCUACCUUUUACAGAGGGAUAGCCCAGAGAAAUUUGGAUUAAUACCUCAUAGUAUAAUGAUUCGGCAUCGAGACAUUAUUAAAGUUCCAACGGUAAAAGAUGAGCAUGCGUCCCAUUAGCUAGAUGGUAAGGUAACGGCUUACCAUGGCGACGAUGGGUAGGGGUCCUGAGAGGGAGAUCCCCCACACUGGUACUGAGACACGGACCAGACUCCUACGGGAGGCAGCAGUGAGGAAUAUUGGUCAAUGGGCGCAAGCCUGAACCAGCCAUGCCGCGUGCAGGAUGACGGUCCUAUGGAUUGUAAACUGCUUUUGUACAGGAAGAAACAGUUCUACGUGUAGAACCUUGACGGUACUGUAAGAAUAAGGAUCGGCUAACUCCGUGCCAGCAGCCGCGGUAAUACGGAGGAUCCAAGCGUUAUCCGGAAUCAUUGGGUUUAAAGGGUCCGUAGGCGGUUUUGUAAGUCAGUGGUGAAAGCCCAUCGCUCAACGGUGGAAUGGCCAUUGAUACUGCAAGACUUGAAUUACUAGGAAGUAACUAGAAUAUGUAGUGUAGCGGUGAAAUGCUUAGAUAUUACAUGGAAUACCAAUUGCGAAGGCAGGUUACUACUAGUGGAUUGACGCUGAUGGACGAAAGCGUGGGGAGCGAACAGGAUUAGAUACCCUGGUAGUCCACGCCGUAAACGAUGGAUACUAGCUGUUCGAGAGCAAUCUUGAGUGGCUAAGCGAAAGUGAUAAGUAUCCCACCUGGGGAGUACGUUCGCAGAAUGAAACUCAAAGGAAUUGACGGGGGGCCGCACAAGCGGUGGAGCAUGGGGUUUAAUUCGAUGAUACGCGA
This 951-nucleotide ribosomal RNA is filed under the name uncultured bacterium. RNAcentral describes it as "bacterial SSU rRNA". It matches the Rfam family "Bacterial small subunit ribosomal RNA", at positions 8 to 964 of the family's 1533-position model. The record is from RNAcentral.